UGGCCUUUGACAAUUCCACCUAUUGACAAUGUUCUUUUCACUUCCUCAUCUUCUCUCUCCUCAAGUGAAACUUCACCGAGGGGGAAUUUGAAGGUUGCUCUUGGUAAACCAAUUGUUGGAACAGGUGUUGACAGCUCAAGUGCAUAGCCAGGAUCAGCAAGCUUUGCAACCAUUGACACCUCUCCUUCUUUAGCCUUGACAUCAUGGGCAGCCUUGAAUUGCAAGGUGGGACCCACAUCAAAGGAGCCUUUGAUAAGAGCAUUUUGGUCAGCAAGAUCAUAGUGAAUAGAUAGGAGUUUCGAAGUGAAGG
RNAcentral lists this unclassified non-coding RNA (310 nucleotides) under Hevea brasiliensis (rubber tree). Lineage: Eukaryota; Viridiplantae; Streptophyta; Magnoliopsida; Malpighiales; Euphorbiaceae. The record is from RNAcentral.